Molecule: ribosomal RNA, 446 nt
Filed under: uncultured bacterium
Lineage: Bacteria
Description: partial 16S ribosomal RNA
Rfam family: Bacterial small subunit ribosomal RNA
Source: RNAcentral
GUAAGGAAUAUUGGGCAAUGGAGGCAACUCUGACCCAGCCAUGCCGCGUGAAGGAUUGACGGCCCUCUGGGUUGUAAACUUCUUUUAUACGGGAAGAAACUUCCGAACGUGUUCGGAAUUGACUGUACCGUAGGAAUAAGCAUCGGCUAACUCCGUGCCAGCAGCCGCGGUAAUACGGAGGAUGCAAGCGUUAUCCGGAUUUAUUGGGUUUAAAGGGUGCGUAGGCGGAAUGAUAAGUCAGUGGUGAAAGCCUGCGGCUUAACCGUAGAACUGCCAUUGAUACUGUUGUUCUUGAGUAUAGUUGAGGUGGGCGGAAUGUGUAAUGUAGCGGUGAAAUGCUUAGAUAUUACACAGAACACCGAUUGCGAAGGCAGCUCACUAAGCUGUUACUGACGCUGAGGCACGAAAGCGUGGGGAGCAAACAGGAUUAGAAACCCUAGUAGUCC